AACAUCUAAGUACCCCGAGGAAAAGAAAUCAACCGAGAUUCCCCCAGUAGCGGCGAGCGAACGGGGAGGAGCCCAGAGCCUGAAUCAGUGUGUGUGUUAGUGGAAGCGUCUGGAAAGGCGCGCGAUACAGGGUGACAGCCCCGUACACAAAAAUACACAUAUUGUGAGCUCGACGAGUAGGGCGGGACACGUGGUAUCCUGUCUGAAUAUGGGGGGACCAUCCUCCAAGGCUAAAUACUCCUGACUGACCGAUAGUGAACCAGUACCGUGAGGGAAAGGCGAAAAGAACCCCGGCGAGGGGAGUGAAAAAGAACCUGAAACCGUGUACGUACAAGCAGUGGGAGCACGCUUAGGCGUGUGACUGCGUACCUUUUGUAUAAUGGGUCAGCGACUUAUAUUCUGUAGCAAGGUUAACCGAAUAGGGGAGCCGAAGGGAAACCGAGUCUUAACUGGGCGUUAAGUUGCAGGGUAUAGACCCGAAACCCGGUGAUCUAGCCAUGGGCAGGUUGAAGGUUGGGUAACACUAACUGGAGGACCGAACCGACUAAUGUUGAAAAAUUAGCGGAUGACUUGUGGCUGGGGGUGAAAGGCCAAUCAAACCGGGAGAUAGCUGGUUCUCCCCGAAAGCUAUUUAGGUAGCGCCUCGUGAAUUCAUCUCCGGGGGUAGAGCACUGUUUCGGCAAGGGGGUCAUCCCGACUUACCAACCCGAUGCAAACUGCGAAUACCGGAGAAUGUUAUCACGGGAGACACACGGCGGGUGCUAACGUCCGUCGUGAAGAGGGAAACAACCCAGACCGCCAGCUAAGGUCCCAAAGUCAUGGUUAAGUGGGAAACGAUGUGGGAAGGCCCAGACAGCCAGGAUGUUGGCUUAGAAGCAGCCAUCAUUUAAAGAAAGCGUAAUAGCUCACUGGUCGAGUCGGCCUGCGCGGAAGAUGUAACGGGGCUAAACCAU
This 953-nucleotide ribosomal RNA is filed under the name Shigella sonnei. RNAcentral describes it as "partial 23S ribosomal RNA". It matches the Rfam family "Bacterial large subunit ribosomal RNA", at positions 197 to 1190 of the family's 2925-position model. The record is from RNAcentral. Lineage: Bacteria; Pseudomonadati; Pseudomonadota; Gammaproteobacteria; Enterobacterales; Enterobacteriaceae.